RNAcentral lists this ribosomal RNA (484 nucleotides) under uncultured organism. RNAcentral's name for it is "bacterial SSU rRNA". It matches the Rfam family "Bacterial small subunit ribosomal RNA", at positions 29 to 507 of the family's 1533-position model. The record is from RNAcentral.
AUUGAACGCUGGCGGCAUGCUUUACACAUGCAAGUCGAACGGCAGCGGGGGCUUCGGCCCGCCGGCGAGUGGCGAACGGGUGAGUAAUGCAUCGGAACGUGCCCAGUCGUGGGGGAUAACACAUCGAAAGAUGUGCUAAUACCGCAUACGUCCUGAGGGAGAAAGCGGGGGAUCUUCGGACCUCGCGCGAUUGGAGCGGCCGAUGUCGGAUUAGCUAGUUGGUGGGGUAAAAGCCCACCAAGGCGACGAUCCGUAGCGGGUCUGAGAGGAUGAUCCGCCACACUGGGACUGAGACACGGCCCAGACUCCUACGGGAGGCAGCAGUGGGGAAUUUUGGACAAUGGGGGCAACCCUGAUCCAGCCAUGCCGCGUGAGUGAAGAAGGCCUUCGGGUUGUAAAGCUCUUUCGGACGGAAAGAAAUCGCCGCCUCUAACAUAGGCGGUGGAUGACGGUACCGUAAGAAGAAGCACCGGCUAACUACGUG